Molecule: ribosomal RNA, 364 nt
Filed under: uncultured bacterium
Lineage: Bacteria
Description: partial 16S ribosomal RNA
Rfam family: Bacterial small subunit ribosomal RNA
Source: RNAcentral
CCUACGGGUGGCAGCAGUGAGGAAUAUUGGUCAAUGGGCGGAAGUCUGAACCAGCCAUGCCGCGUGCAGGAUGACGGCUCUAUGAGUUGUAAACUCCUUUUGUACGAGAAUAAUAGUUCUUACGUGUAGGGAUUUCAAUGUAUCGUACGAAUCAGGAUCGGCUAACUCCGUGCCAGCAGCCGCGGUAAUACGGAGGAGUCGAGCGUUAUCCGGAUUUAUUGGGUUUAAAGGGUGCGUAGGCUGUAGGAUAAGUUAGAGGUCAAAUGUCGGGGCUUAACCCCGUGCCUGCCUUUGAUACUGUGCGACUAGAGAGCGGGUGCGGCAGGCGGAAUUAGUAGUGUAGCGGUGAAAUGCGUAGAUAUUA